Molecule: small nucleolar RNA, 107 nt
Filed under: Gossypium arboreum
Lineage: Eukaryota; Viridiplantae; Streptophyta; Magnoliopsida; Malvales; Malvaceae
Description: Plant small nucleolar RNA R71
Rfam family: Plant small nucleolar RNA R71
About the family: R71 is a member of the C/D box family of snoRNAs containing the C (UGAUGA) and D (CUGA) box motifs.
Source: Rfam by way of RNAcentral
AACCUAUAGUGAGGGCACCUUCUCAAUAAGUCUUUAUACCUCUCUCAUGCAUCAUACAGAGUCUAUAAAUCCAUUUGCAUGAAAGAAGAGAUAUCAUUCCUCAGCUU